Molecule: long non-coding RNA, 1117 nt
Filed under: Phascolarctos cinereus (koala)
Lineage: Eukaryota; Metazoa; Chordata; Mammalia; Diprotodontia; Phascolarctidae
Description: lncRNA (ENSPCIG00000037334.1)
Source: RNAcentral
AUGCAUAUUCAUGGCCUUAAAGUAGAGUGCUUAGAGUACAAAGGCCAAGAAAAAACAUCCUUAAAAAACAUUCUUCACCCAAUCACCCUCCACCCCCACAUAUUUUCUGUUGUAAAUACAAAACAUGUAUCUACAAAAAAGUGCACUAUUUCUAAAAAUGCAGGUACAGAGUUUUCCUUUGGUAGGGGCAAAAGCUAUUUAGUCCUUCUAUCAGCUUUCUCCUAUCAGCUUCUUAAUUCCCCAAAUCUGUCUAUAUUGUUCCUCAGGCUGCAUAUGAGAGAGAAGCUCGCAUUUUGGCUGCAAUUUUUGUGGUUAAUUUUUCAAGUUUCCUGGGAAGGUGUGUUCAACCAUUUUUUCAGAUGGGAAAAUUUAACUUUUCAUUUUUACUUUGUGUGACCCCUGUAGAAUAGCACUGUUAGCAUGGGAAUGUGGGAAAUGGGUAUUCCCACUAAACUUUCCCAUUGAGUGAUUUAGCACAUGAAUACGAUUUUUUGAUGAUUUCAUAGUGGCAGCAGAUACAUUUAGACAAAAAACAAGCUCUACAUCAAGCAUCUACCCUCUGGAGCAAAAGGACAGCUUCUUCAAAGUAUAAUAACCAAUAUAUGGAUUCUUCUAAUAUAGCUUCUAUAAAUACCAACCAAGAGACCUGUAACUGAAGGCUGGGGGUAUGAUAGAGAUUUUCUCCAGGACAAUGAAAUUUAGAGGGCACUUGUUCAUAAUCUAGAAAUAACUUAGUUUAGCACCUAAUUAAUAAGAUUAAUUAGUUAAAAUAGGAAGCUAAUAGAUGGUAAGCUUCCUUCCUAUGGCCACAGAACCCCAGCCUGCCCCUGCCUUCCUUUCCCUCCCACCUCCAGCCUUCUCAGAAGCUCCUCCGUGGUGUCUUUGGGUCCCUUUUCACUCCUAACGGGUUUCAGCUUUAAAAGUUGGUCUGAGGGCAUGUCCCAUGCUGCUGCUUGCUUCGGGCAGUGAAAAUGAUAAUUACACCUCUGACAACAAGUGAAACUGAAAUAGCUAAAGUACUUACAUAUUACUUCUAGGAUUCACAAAUGUCACAAUGAUGUCAUUUAUGACAAACACUCAGAAUAAAGGUAAUAGGGAUGCCGUAGGGAUGGAAUAU